CUCAGAUGAACGCUGGCGGCGUGCCUAAUACAUGCAAGUCGAGCGAAUGGAUUAAGAGCUUGCUCUUAUGAAGUUAGCGGCGGACGGGUGAGUAACACGUGGGUAACCUGCCCAUAAGACUGGGAUAACUCCGGGAAACCGGGGCUAAUACCGGAUAACAUUUUGAACCGCAUGGUUCGAAAUUGAAAGGCGGCUUCGGCUGUCACUUAUGGAUGGACCCGCGUCGCAUUAGCUAGUUGGUGAGGUAACGGCUCACCAAGGCAACGAUGCGUAGCCGACCUGAGAGGGUGAUCGGCCACAUGGGAUGA
RNAcentral lists this ribosomal RNA (308 nucleotides) under Bacillus cereus. Its description in RNAcentral is "bacterial SSU rRNA". It matches the Rfam family "Bacterial small subunit ribosomal RNA", at positions 28 to 322 of the family's 1533-position model. Lineage: Bacteria; Bacillati; Bacillota; Bacilli; Caryophanales; Bacillaceae. The record is from RNAcentral.